GCCGGUUUCCGUGGCUUAGUUGGCAAAACACCAGACUAUGGUGCGGUGGGAUUCGGGUUCGAGCCCCGGUGAAGGCA
Molecule: non-coding RNA, 77 nt
Organism: Henosepilachna vigintioctopunctata
Lineage: Eukaryota; Metazoa; Arthropoda; Insecta; Coleoptera; Coccinellidae
Source: the annotation of a GenBank genome assembly